This 483-nucleotide ribosomal RNA is filed under the name uncultured bacterium. RNAcentral's name for it is "partial 16S ribosomal RNA". It matches the Rfam family "Bacterial small subunit ribosomal RNA", at positions 28 to 507 of the family's 1533-position model. The record is from RNAcentral.
GACGAACGCUGGCGGCGUGCUUAACACAUGCAAGUCGAACGCUGAAGCUCAGCUUUUGUUGGGUGGAUGAGUGGCGAACGGGUGAGUAACACGUGAGUAACCUGCCUCCUUCUUUGGGAUAACGCCCGGAAACGGGUGCUAAUACUGGAUAUUCACUGGUCUUCGCAUGGGGGUUGGUGGAAAGGGUUUUUCUGGUGGGGGAUGGGCUCGCGGCCUAUCAGCUUGUUGGUGGGGUGAUGGCCUACCAAGGCUUUGACGGGUAGCCGGCCUGAGAGGGUGACCGGUCACAUUGGGACUGAGAUACGGCCCAGACUCCUACGGGAGGCAGCAGUGAGGAAUAUUGCACAAUGGGCGCAAGCCUGAUGCAGCGACGCCGCGUGAGGGAUGGAGGCCUUCGGGUUGUGAACCUCUUUCGCUCAUGGUCAAGCCGCAACAAUGGUUGUGGUGAGGGUAGUGGGUAAAGAAGCGCUGGCUAACUACGUG